CUAUGGGAUGAAGCGAACAUUCCGGGGCCUUCAUAGAGCCUACGUUUACUGAUAUGAUUAUAUCACCAGACACAAAUAUGUCAGCAACUGUUACGACACCUAUGACGGUUACUCCAAUGACAACGGAUUCCCUUCCACCUGAAGUAACUGCAGCUCUCAUCAUCUCCAUCAUCCUCAUCUUCUCAACGCUUAUUAUGCUAAUUUAUGCAAAUAGGAGGUUUGAAUCUGAUCGAGCCAUCACCGUAUGCUGCUUCCUACUGACAAUGAGUGCUCAGCACAUAACUCUUGUUAGCGGUCUCUAUUCAACAUCAA
Long non-coding RNA from Lytechinus pictus (painted urchin), 312 nucleotides. RefSeq lists it as uncharacterized. The record is from RefSeq and is a predicted model, not a curated record. NCBI's taxonomy places the organism in Eukaryota, Metazoa, Echinodermata, Echinoidea, Temnopleuroida, Toxopneustidae. The transcript has 3 exons.